GGACUUGAGGCUGUCGGGAAGGAGGGGUGUGGCCUAGACCACUAAGGGCCGUGACGUGGUGCCGCUGAGCUUGGACCCCGACCAGAAGAUAGAGAUUGAAACGAUGAGGAAAACGAAGUGCCUAAUCCCCGCUGGACGCUAACUGCAGGGCAAGCUCCCCAGUGUUGUAGUUGUGUUUCGGAGGCCGAGAACCGCUAUCGGGCUUCCUCGGACUCUGGCCCUGGAGGGGGGAAACGGCGAGGGAGAAGGCGAAACGAGUCUCCAGUGUGUUCUUGGGGCCUGGUGCGAGGCCCAGAGAAUUCUCUGCAGGCCUUUGCCCGGGCACUGAUUAAGGCUGCGAAGAGACGCACCGGGCUGCGGGCUUAGUAGCUUCAGGCUUCUGAAGUCAGAGGGAGGGCUGAGAGCUUACACUUCUGGAGCUCCCCGGGAGACGGCAACUACCCAACCGUGUGGGUGUGUUUGUCACCCAGAAAUACUCUCCACACCAUGCUGCACUGCUGCGGAUGAGGGAAGGAUGGUGUCGGGGCUUCAAGACUGUUUUUCCUACCUCUUCAGUGCCUCUUUCAGUGAUAUGAAGUUAAAACCAGGAACAUGGAGGAGACAUAUUUCCACCUAUUUCUCUCCAUAAGUAUAAAAGACCAUAAAAGACCAUCUAGGGACUUCAGAACCCAAAUAAUGACACAAUGGGCUAACUGCUGACUGGAGAGGGGAGAAAAUGGAACACGGAGAGACAGAAGAAAGUGUUCUAACAGAAGUCUGUCUGUGGUUGCUUUGGACCAAGGCAGAGUGCUCUAAAGGUGGCUGUGCUGUACCCAGUACUGUGUCUUCUGAUAGAAGGUUCUGAAGCAACACUGUAACUGCUGAAUGCUUCUGGCUGCUUCUUUCCACAGUAAAAGAUGAAAAGAAAUAUCUUUUAUUGAGAUAGACUGAGGUCCAGGAAAAACAAGUGCAACUUCAUGGUCCUUUUCUUCAUAUUCUGGAAUACAAGAAAACGUGUAAAUGUUUGCAAAUUCAGGUGCUAAGAGUUUUGCAUGUAUAGCAGUACUUUUACCAUCUGUUUCAUUUGGAUGUUUAAUGAUGUCAAUCUUCAAUGGAAGUUUCACAAGUGGAAUCUGUUCAAUAGGUACAUUUUCAACUGGAAUGUAACAUGUAGAGCAGUAGAACAUUCUGGAACCACCACAUUUGAGACAUUUUGAUCUCCCACUUUGCUGAGCUUUUUGAAGAACUUCUUGAGAUGCUAAACAUAAGUUUUGAAGGGGAUCUUCUGAAGCUAUGGAAGUAGUUUGUGACUGUUUUGUUUCCACAAAGUUUGAAUUAUUUUCUUCACUUCAUUUGAGAAAUAUAGGUGGAUUGAGAGACAUUCUUCAUUCAAACAAAAGUUUAACAGCUAUUUCUAAAACACAUAUCAUCUGAAGCUAUGGAAGUAGUUUGUGACUGUUUUGUUUCCACAAAGUUUGAAUUAUUUUCUUCACUUCAUUUGAGAAAUAUAGGUGGAUUGAGAGACAUUCUUCAUUCAAACAAAAGUUUAACAGCUAUUUCUAAAACACAUAUCAUAUGUGCACUGCGAGUCCUCGAACAGCUCCACGCGUCUCCAGCUCUGCCCAAGCCCGAGCCACGCGACGGGCUGUGAUCGCGCACGGACCAGACGCAAAGAAGCCAACUGCUGGUUCUCCACUCUGAAUGAUCAUCGCUUCCCAUUUGGAAGACAAAGAUGGUUACUGGCCUUGGCAUAUUAACCCUGGAGCUGCCUCCUCAGGAAGUGAAGAGUUGGGCUUGGCUGGCUGGUAUAGCAGCAGCGACAGCAGCAGAGACAGCAUGGCCUGCUCAGAAGGGGCGCCCUAGUUGCCAAGGAUGAGGGCACUGGCUUUGCACUCUUUGAGACUGGGGCUUUACCUAACAAACACUUGCAAAACUUAUUACCCCUCCAGUCCUCAAGUUUCCUUGUACCUAUAGAAUAGGAAUGUUAAAACUUACUUCACACAACUGUUUUGAGGAUGAAUUGGCUAUUUGAAAACUUGGGCACUGGAAGAAGUCCAGUGAAGGACAGUGUCACUUCCGCUGUUCACCCUUUCAUGCUUAAUUAACAUUUAAUUAAUCAAAUAUGUUGUUUCUUUUUGUAUUUUUUUAACUGAGAUAAAUGUAGAUUUACAUAUAGUUGUAGAAAUAAUACAGAAUUAUCCCGUGUACCCCUUACCUAGUUACCCCCAAUGGUAACAUCUUGCAAUAUUAUACCACAAUGUCACAACCAGGAUAUUCAGAUAGAUGUCAUCCACUGAUCUUACUCAAAAUUCACUCAUUUUCCAUACAGUCCUUUGAUUGUGUGGUAGUUCUGUGAAAUUUCAUCCCAUCUGUAGUUUUCAUGUAAUCAUCGCCACAGUCAAGGCACAGAAUGCUUCACUUCCAUCACUAUAAGGAACCCUUGUGUUGCCCUUUUAUAACCACACCCACUUCUCUCCUGUCUCCCAAACUCCAUCUCUAAUCCCUGUUAACCACUGAUAUGUUCCUUACUUACACAAUUUUAUCAUUUCAAGAAAGUUACAGAUAUUGAAUCACAUAGUAUGUAACCUUUUAGGAUUGGUGUUUUUCACUCAGCAUUAUUCCCUGGAGAUCAUCCAAGUUGUUGCACGAAUGAUUUGUUUCUUUUAUUGCUGGGGAGUAGUCUAUGGUAUGGAUGUAUCACAGUUUAAUUAUUCGCCCCUUGAAGGACAUUUGGGUGGUUUCUAGUUUCUGGCUAUUGUAAAUGAAACUGUGAUGAACGUUUGUGUACAGGUUUCUGUGUGAACACAAGUUUUCAUUUCUCUGGGAUAAAUGCCUGUGAGUGCAACUGCUGGGUCAUAUGGCAAUUGCAUGUUUAGUUUUACAAGAAACUGCCAAACUGCUUUCCAGAGUGGCUGUGCCAUUUUAAAUUCCCUCCAGCAAUUAUAAGAGGUGCAGUUUCUCGGCAUUCCUUCCAAAAUUUGAUGGUGUUGCCAUUUUUUAUCUUAGCCAUUUUGGCAGGUGUGUAGUAAUAUCUUAUUGUGGGUUUUACGUUGCAUUUCCCUAAUUGUUAAUGUUGUUAAAUAUUUUCUCAUGUGCUUAUCCGCUAUCU
Molecule: long non-coding RNA, 3088 nt
Filed under: Homo sapiens (human)
Lineage: Eukaryota; Metazoa; Chordata; Mammalia; Primates; Hominidae
Description: COPB2 divergent transcript
Source: RNAcentral